GUGUUAGUAAUAUGUUCCCAGGAAAAGAGCACAUAAGACGCCAGAUGGAAGGGCAUGGGCUGAAUUCUGGAGACUGAGUGUACAUCAAGAUACACCGGGCUGGGGAUAUACUUCUUACAGCACCUGCAGUGGUAAAGAUCGUCAUGUCUCUCUUUGAUGGGUGCAUAAGUUUCACAAGAAGUAAGGUCCAGCUGAAUAAUGGUCUUUUGUUUAGGAAACCAGAUGGAGAAGGGUUCUCCAGCUUCAGCUGGAAUGUCAGUUUGUGUGAUGAGUGAUGGAAGUAAGAGAAUGUAUGGUGUAAUCGUAGAACAGAGGCCAUAAGUCUUUAAGUAUGAAUGCCCCACAGAAAGAAGGCAGAAACCUGAACCAGGACGAGAGGUUCCACAUCUGAUGAUCCAAGGAGACCAGAAGGACCUCUCCCAGUGAUACCAGGAGAUCCAGUCUACGGUCGAGUGUUCCGAAGGAAGUGGGAUCAGCCGAGGAGGGAAGGAACCUACGAGGUGGCAACGGCCACAAACACGGCCGUCCAAGUGAAAGGAAGCAAGACGUGGUAUCAUCUAAACCACGGCACCCGAGUCCCGACGGAGAGAAGGACACAAUCAUACAGAGAUGAGGACACAGAGGAUGCUUAUUCACCAGAGGGGACCCCGGAGGGAGCAGGAGCAGCGGAAUCGAUCAAAGCCCCGGGGAGGACUCAAGAAAAUGGCAGACCAAAUACAACGAGUGCAUCAGCUAACACAAUCCGAAGAAGCACAAGGGGAAAAGAGCCUGAAAAGAAAAGAGACAAACGACCAAAGUUUCCUCCAGUAUGGCCAGAAAGCCCAGAAGUGGGAGGGGGUAACAUGUCUGCCACUCCUGAUGAUAUACCUGUUGGGGCAGGCCUCUUUGACAGAAGCCCUCUACAGAGGGUCUCCGAGGUAUUGCCUAAAGAAUGGGAACCUCUCUUCCCUGAAAUGGACACCUUCCAAAUGGAAGCCCAGUCUGGCCUGAGGAGGGAGCUUCAGGGGAAGAAAGAAG
Molecule: long non-coding RNA, 1017 nt
Organism: Oncorhynchus tshawytscha (Chinook salmon)
Lineage: Eukaryota; Metazoa; Chordata; Actinopteri; Salmoniformes; Salmonidae
Source: Ensembl